UCAGCAAUUGGAAAUCUGCCCAAUCUUGAGGUGCUCAAAUUACUCGGCCGAUCAUUUGAGGGGGAAAUAUGGGAAAUGGAAGUAGAAAAGUUCCCUAAAGUUAAGUUCCUGAAAUUAGAUUCCCUGGAUAUUGUGAAGUGGACAGCCUCUGAGUACGAGGACCAGGACUAUUUUCCUCGUCUCCAGAAGUUAGUGUUGGAAAGCUGUGAUGCAUUGCAGGAGAUCCCUUCUUGUUUGGGAAAUAGUUCAACUCUCGAAAUAAUUGAGGUGUCAAAAUGUCCCAACUGUACCAGUUCAUUGGAGGAAAUUCAGGAAGAGCAAAGAAGCAAUGGAUAUACAGAUCUGAUGAUCCUUAUCUCAUAAUGGACGAUUGAUCUUCUCAAGUAAGUUUGCUUUGGACAGCCAGUUUACUCUACAUUUGUUUUUUAAGUACUUUACUUAUGCACUGCUACGGGUUAUGUUUAUCUGUUUUGCAUCAAGAUCAAGUUGUUCUUUUUCUUAAUUGUUUUUCUUUUUCUUUUUCUUUUUCUUAAUUAGCAUUGGAAGACUGCAAGUUUUUGGAGGAGAUCCAUUCUCGUUUGGGAAUUGUUUCAACCCUUGAAUUCAGUCCCAACUCUACAAGUUCAGUAAUUCAAAUUCAGGAAGUGCAAAUAAGCGUGAGAUAUGCUGACCUGAAGAUCCUUAUCCUAUAAUGGAUGACUGAUCUUCUCAAGUUUGUUUGAUUUAGGCAGCCACUUUAAUCUACUUUUCUUUUCUUAAUCAAUCCUUUACUUCUGAACUGAAACUGGUUAUGUUGUAUCUGUCUAGCAUUAAGAUCAAGUUAUUCUUGCUUUCUUUGUAACUUUUCUUUAAUUCCUGUAGCAGAAAUUUGAUGUGGGAAAUAUCACUUCCCAAGUUUUUUUUUUAAGAUUUAAGUCAAUGAAGUUGCUGUUUCUUUUUUUCCUCAAAUAGUAUGUUUUGCAUUUUUUUUAAGCUAAUACUGCUUAGUAGUAGCAUCAUGUAAUCUGGCUUGGAAGUAAUGUUUUAGAGUCCAAUUGAUUCUUCUCCCCGUCUACGUACCCAAAUACUAAUGUGGAAGGUAAAUUUUUUAAAAGUCAUGCUCUGCUUGAGCAGUGAAUUGGUUGUAAGUACUUCUUUUGCCCAGGUUUUCUCUUUUUUUUUUUCUUUUUAAUUUUUAUAUAACAACACAUCUUUGCCAAAAAAAAAAACAUUUUAAAUCACAUGGGAUCCUUAGUAUCAACUUCUAUAUUUAUAUCAAGUGUUCCGUUAUUUAAGUUGUCAUAUCCUAUUUAUUUAAGUUUUCUUUACCAUCACGUGACAAGUGAGACUAGCACUGAAAUUUAGUAUUAGAUAGUAGUACAGGGGAUCCCAACUGAUUAUAAAUAGUUGGAUGACCAUUUUAGCCAUUUUAAAAUAAGUUUUGAUGCAAGCACACACCAGAACUGAUUGUUGUACAAUAUGAAGUAAGCCAAGUUUCUACCAAAAAAAAAAGGAAGCCAAGUUAAGAAAGUCUUUAUGUUUUUUUCUCUUUCUAACACCUCCCACCCUUCUUUACACUUUUUUCACUGCCAACUAUCAGGUUUAGAAUUUAAAUCUUGAACUUGGCAUUAAGGAGAACACAAGGCAAACAGAGUUAAUUGUACUAACUUCACUUGGCUUUAAAAAGAUUUUGAAACUUUUCAUAAAUUUAUUCGUUAUGCAUCUUUUGAAUUGUUCUAAAAUUGAUGUCUUAAAAAGUUUCUUUAUAGGUUUCAAAAUACAAAAGUAGGGAUGGCAACGGGGUGGAGUUGGAUCCCUCCACCCCUGCCCUGCUCCCUCGCAGAUACCUGCAGGUGAUAAUUUGCCCAAAACUUCAGCAUGAAAAGAACUUCACACUUCAGAGAUCAAGAAAACAAUAGCCACUAUUUGGUUUAAUAGUAUAAAUUAUCGGGAAGGAAACCAACAAGCUAAUUCAUCGAUCCUCAACUUCAUUAAACACAUUCACCAAAGUAUGACAUGUUAAUACACAGGAUACAUCAAUAAUUCUCAGGAUGUGAUAAUACAUUAUUGGACUUAUGCAAAAGGCAAAAAGUAAAGGUUAGUUCUUUGGACUUAUAUGAAGUGCUAUUGUACUACUAGUUAAAAUUCAUGAGUGUUACCAGAUUACUGCAUAGUGAAGGGUUCGCAUGAGUUUAAUUGAACCAGCUCUGUAUUGGCAGACUUGCGGCAGUUUCAUGGCGAAGAAGUGAAGGCAUUCUGCUCGGACAGAAACGAGAGGCGGAAACAAAAGAAAGAGGAAGUAGACAAAAUCGCAAGAGCAUUUUUUUUUUCCCCCAAAAAAACUUAUUUUUCUUUAGUGGGCAGUGGGUGUUUAAUAUUUUAAACAAAAUUGGAAACUAAUAUGGCUCAUAAUUAAUCCAUAUAUAUGUAUAUUAUUCAUGUGUAUUAAUUAAUUUUAGUGGGCGACAAGGUGCCCCACUACUUUUCUCACAAGGCGGGUACUUGCUUCCGUUGCCAUCCCUAUGUAAAAGGCCUCCCAAGGUAACAUUCAAGAAAAUGUAGAGAAAGAGGUGUAAUUGCAACACUUUUGAAGAGAUUUUAGCAUUAAUUUUUUUAUGCAUUGAUAGUAUACUGAUUUUUUUACCCUGGUAACUUUAUAUGUAUGCUACAUGUCCAUAAUUUGAAUUUCAAAUUAGAAUUUAUGUUACGUGACAUGAUUUAAUUUUGUCAGUGUAAAAAAAAAUUAUACAUUGACAUUAUAUAAAAAAGUUAUCUUAAAUUUUUGGGCCACCCCAACUCAUACAGGAGUUUAAUCGCAAUUGGUGGCGGACCAGGAUUCUUCAACUGCACUUAUCCAAAGAUUGAUCAUCCUUACAAUUCGAAAAAUUUGUUAAAUGCCCUUUAAAUUGAAGACUUUGUAGCCGCAACUAUACAUUUCAGUGUUCAAAAAAUCUACUCAUAUUAUCUCUACCUCACCGCUGUAAACUUUUAUUGUAGGUCUACAAGCGAAAUAUAUUAUUACAUGGGGGAGUAGCUAAAAGUGACUUUAUUGGAUCCAAAAAAAAAAAAAAAAAAAAAGAGUUUUCAGCCCAGUUACAUGGGGGAGUAGCUAAAAGUGACUUUAUUAGAAUCUAGUAAGAAGUAUGCUUCAUCUUCUAUUAGCCCAGUUACUAUGCACAAUGAAGGCAUAACGUUUUCAGCUCAUCUUUAUAUUCUAUCAGCAGCCUUUUAAACUUUUUUGCAACCGAACAUCCAGUGGUUCUUGCCUACUUACUGAAUAUGUUCACAGGUUUCUUGCUAUCCAUGUUGUUGCUGCAACUACCAUAUACAAUGGCAUUUCUAUUUUUUCCUAUAGGAGUUGCUCUGACUACCUGGUUUGGCUUGGCCGUUCUCAUUGAUCCGCCUAUGCAAGAAGCAAGAGGCCUAAAAAACUGGUUGCUUAUUACCAUGUUGUCUAAUACUUUAGUCUUCAGAACUUUACAAAUCAACUUGCUUCUUCAUUGCUAGUACACUUCUUUGCAGGGCAAUGAGAAAUACGAAGCAACCUGCAGAGGUAGUUAACCAGAGAACACACAACAAGUACAAUCCAGAAAUUUCUUUCCACGCAGAUCACAAGUUUACUGAUAUUACAAACAUCAAAGGGUGAGAACUUUCUUCCUCUGGAAAAAAAAAAUCCGAAAUACCAUCAAAUUAACAAGGUUAGGUUACUUUAUUCAUUUGUCCAUUACUUUGCAGACUAUCUGGGAGAAAACAUCAUCAUUUGUGUAAAUUAAAACACUUAAUUCAGUUUUUUACUUAUGAAAUUUAAUGUACUCGCCCAAUGCAUUCAAGCAAAAUUCCAACUUCCACCGAGUAUUACAACGCUAAGUAAAUUAAAACAAUACUACGCAGUCUAUUUUAUACAUGCUAUAGAUCACUAUUAUUUGAUCCUGGGCAUACAUAUAAUUUAACUAUCAUCUCCUAGUUAUUAAUAAGUCUCGACUAGUCUCUCUCAGUCAUGGUUGUCAUACAUCUCACUCGAAUUUAAAAUCUUGAAUUCUCUUUAAUUUACUUCUCAAAGUGUACCUUUUUUUUUAACUUUUAAAAUGGGAUCAAUAAUGUUCCCAUCAUACCUGUUUUAAUAACUCGAACCCGUGAUUUAUUAGAUAUAGGUGGAGCGUCUUAUUUUCUUAUGCUAUAUUGCCAGAAAAACUCACACACCGCAGCUAUAUCAGGGAGGAAGUUGAUCUUUGGAAGAGUAUAAACUUUUUGAUCCCAGCCAAACUCAAAUGCGUAUGCUGAGCGUACUCUUCCGGGCCCCCUUCCACCCCAUCAAAUCUGUUUCCUUCCAAGUUAGCCUUUUGAUGCAUCCCACAUUAACUUUCAAUAUAUCCAUUGCAGUCAAGACAAGCUAAACUCCUAUUUUUAAACAGUUUGGACUGGAUCAUACGAGAAAAAAGCUUCUUUAACAAAUAAUUAAGAAAAAAUAAACCUACAAAAAUGAAAUGUAGUAUUUUGAAAAAAAGUGCUUUGGUUAAAUCUCCCUCAGUUGAUCUUCUAGUUCAUAUUAGAGUUUCGACUCAAUCAUUAAUUUCGAUUUGGGUAAAAGUUAUGUGAAUUUUAAAUUCUAACCAUUGAAUUUUGAAUAUGUGACGUGUCUGUGACUUUUUAUUCCUAGUAAAAAAAAUGGCUUGAAAGGAACCAAAAAAAAAAGCGCUUCUUGAAUUUGUGAGGAAAUAAAAUAUGAAUUAAUCUUAUAUAUACUGACAGUGUGUACACUUUUACCUUUAAAUUUAUACCAUUUAAUCAUAAUUUGAAUUUAAAUAUUAUUUUUUAUAUAUGUGAUAUGCAUUCAAGGGUGAUAGUAUAUACACCGUUAAUAUAUAUAUAUAUAUAUAUAUAUAUACAAACUUGGUCUUGUUUCUCAGGUGAAUAUUUACUAGUCAAUAGUAUCCCUUGCUAAUUUAAUUACACGAACAAUUUCGUCUGUCUGACUCAUGAAAUUAGCAACGACAAUAUACAAAAUGAUAAUCGCGAAACUUGAAUUACAAAAGUAACGUCGCCGUUUUUGUCAAACCAGUAUUGCUUGCCGAAUCUCCCAAUGAACUUGUCUCAUACUUUCUUAAAAGUAAUCCAUAAUUGUGUAUCAGCCCGUCGAUGUGAAAUUUGGAUGUGACCAGGUGAAAUUAAUCCGUGCGUAAAAAUUAAAUCUGUAGUGCUUCAUUGGAAUCCAGUUCUAGAUGACCUUGACAUUGUUAUUGUUGAGAAUAAAUUUUCAAGGUAAUCUACAUGUUAAGAAAACACUGAGAAACUAACACGGCGCAUUCAUUUGAUUAAUUACUAGUGUUAAGGGCACACUUAUAGUUUAGAUUUUUCACAUCAAUACAAUUUAUGUAAAUUUAUUAAGAAUUUUGAUUUAUAUGGUUAUAGUAAUUUGGUAGUUACAAUACUUAAUGUGGUUAUGAGUUUUAUCCAAAAUAUAUAUAUAUAUAUAUAGAGAGAGAGAGAGAGAGAGAGAGAGAGAGAGAGAGAGAGAGAGAGUAGGGGGCGAUAGCUAUGAGUGCUGGCAAAAUGAUUUAUGUAAUUAAGAUAAAAAUUAGUUUUCAUAAGAAUAAAAUUGGAAGUUCAAAAAAUAAUAAAAUGAGCUUACAUAUUGGUGUAGCAUAAUUUUUCGUCUCUAUUAAUAUUUUUGGACAAACUUAGAUAUUGAUCGUUAGUGGAGCAAAAUAAAGCACCUCUACUCUAAUAUUUGAAUUUGUUAAUGUCUACCUAAUAUCUUUGAACAUAAGAAAAUGUAUAGUUUAUGUGUACGCUUUAAUGUGGACACAGAGAUACAAAUGUCAUUAUGUAAUUAGAAUUAAAGUUUGCAAAAGUUAGUCAUUUGAAGUCAUGUAAAAUAAUUGAAAAAUAAAGUUUGUUUUCAAACUAAUAUAGUAUUAGGACAUAUAAAAAUUAUUAGACAUAUUAAGUUAGUUUAGAUUGUCAAGGUGAUUUUUUUUUUUUCAAUUCCCAAUCAAAAGAUUAGUAUUAGAUUAUCAAAUAAUAGUUGAUACUCAAUUAAAUAGACUAAGAAACUCAAGUGAUACUCAAUAGAUUCCACUCAUUAAUUGAUUGUUUUGACUAUCACACUUUAAAAAUAUUUUUGGCACGAGUAUCACCGGAAUAAAUACUUCAACAUGCAACUCACGUACCCCUAUACUAGUAUUAAUGCAAUGAAUGACAUUAGUGGAGUUAUUCGAAAAUGGCACCCAAGAGUUAAGAUUGAUGUUUAAACUUUUGAAAAAUGGUAGAUGUAGUGACAUCAAGAUGUAAGCCAUGGAUGUGAAGGAAAAGGAUAUAUUAGCUGUUUUUUUGGAGUGUUUUUGAAAUAUUUUAUUGUAGCAGUGUAUAUGAAAAAAAUUUACUAUAAAUUUUUUUGAAAUUUUUGAUAUACUAAUAUGGAUGGAAUGUUUUUUGAGUUAUUGUAUAUUACUGUAAUAUUUAUAUUUGAAAAACUUGUUUGUUGAAAAAAUAAUCAAUCCAAACGGAGUCAUAAAUUUGCUGCCGACAAAAUAUCUUGCUUUGGCUUCCGUUAUUGAGAUGUAAAUAGUACGAGUGAUUCCCGAAAGCAUGGUAUAAGUUGUAAGAAUACUUUCCCCUUGAGCAACAUAUAGAUGUUUUUGCCAAAAUAACUCCUUGUCCUCGGAGGAAGCCUAUCAUAUUAAUUUGUUUCUUUAGCGAGCUGAAAAGACGACCAAGAGGAAGCUAAUGCCGCUGUUGAUGAGAACUAUGUUGUUGGACGCACUCUCAGAACGAUGGGUAAACUCACUCGAUUAGAUUAGAUACACUCAGACUAAACGAUUCUGAAAGUAAUUUAAGAGAGACCCAUGAAAAAUUCACGUCCAGUCAAUUAAUAACAGGAGUUGGACAAUACGUGAGAAACUCUACCAGCAAUUUUUGGAUUAGGGGUAGGAGCGGUCAUCAGACUGAUCGCUCUUGAACGGUCUCCUCACAAGACCCAAAUGUGAGGCAAGAAAUAUUCCACGUCAGGAAGCCUUCAACAGGCCCCAAAAACGACGGCGUUCUAAAAAAAAAAAUGUUUAGCCAAAACGGGAACAUGACGGACCAAACGGAAGAGUUUCAAUUUUGAAAAUCAAGUUGAAAAUUUGAAUCAGCCGCACAAAACAAAACUGAGAGAAGAGAGGAGGUAUCCUGCUGAAGGUAGCAAUUAACAGAAAAGUGGGUGGAGAGAGCUGGGGUAUGGUGUUGAGUGAAUAAGGAAGAAAGCAAACAAAAAAGUGGAGAGCCACACAAAACAAAACUGAGUGAAGAGAGGAGGCGUCCUGCUGAAGGUAGCAAUUGACAGAAAAGUGGGUGGAGAGAGCUGGGAUAUGGUGUUGAGUGCAUAAGCAAGAAAGCAAACAAUGCAGUGAGAGUGUUGUAUGCAUUUUGAAGCUGGGUAUGAGAGUGUUAUAUCCAUUUUGAAUGCAUGCAAGGCUGGCGGCAAGGUAGAAGCAAACAGAGGAAAUUAAUCAUCUCACGAAGCCAGAUUUUGUCGUGUAACUUAAUAGCAGAAGCAAUUGCGCUCUCCGAGUUCGGUGAAACAUAAAGCGUAUGGUGAAGACCAAGGUAAUGUUAUUGAAUACAGUGUGUUAAAUGAGUAAUAUGUAGUUGGUCUAUGCUCAUCAUACAAUUUUAGUUUGCCCCUCUCCUGACCAUGCAGUGUGUAUAAAAUGGAGGCGUAGAGUUCAUUGAGGUGAAGGAGAGAAAAAGACAUAUAUGUGAAUAAUAAAAGGGUGUACUUGGUGUUGUAAGUUAAUUACAUGAUGUAAGUUAAUUCAGUACCUUUCUUUCCCCGUGUUGGUAAUUAUAAUAUCUAUUAUGUGCAACCGAAGGUUCCAGUGUAUUAUCCAUUUUCCACUGUAUUAAACAAUUACUUCAACCAAAACUGCAGCAAGUAUAAUCAGCCCAUUUGUUCACAACAAUGUAUACAGCAAAAGAUAACUACAAGUCAAAUCGAUCCACAAUUUAUCUGAUACCAUUGAUGUUUUCUUACCUGUGUUUCUUCUGCUUUAUCUCAUCUCCGGAUCUCCCAACCUUGUACUCCACAAUUCCCGUUCACCUUCUCAAGCCUUUUGAUAUUUGAGUACCAAUCCUAAACUCUCUCCUUCUGCCACUACUUAUUGCUUCUUCUCGCCGUGAUUUUCCUUUGCAGCCACUCUAUUUCUACUACUUCUUGCUAUCCUUUGUAUACUACCUGGCAAUUUCCAAUUCUGCAAUGUUAUUUUGCCUUUGCUUUUCUUUCUUGCUCUGUUUUGUAGAAUUUUGCAUUAAUGAAUAUGGGCAAUUAUUUUGGAUGGAGCGCGGCUUAGCUUUUCAUUUGGAGGAUUCAUUUGGGCGAUAACGGACCAACACUUCAUGAAACAGUCUGUCAACUCUUUUUCUUUUUGUUUUUCCCGUUUCUCCUCAAUACAGUGUCGUUCUAACCCUAUUGAAGCCUUCUUGACAUGGCUUAUUAUGGUCCAUUUGUUGGGCCUUGUGAGGAAACCGUUCAAGAGCGGUCACCCUCCUGCCCUGUAUCCGCAAUUUUUAGUUUCAGAUAUGUGUCUUAUCGCAUGAUGAUGGCAGGAGUUGGACAAUACGUGAGAAACUCUACCAGCAAUUUUUAGUUUCAGAUAUGUGUCUUAUUAUCGCAUGAUGAUGGCGAUCUAAAUCGAAUCUACGUAAAUUUGCUUUAGAAAAAAAAAAAAAGGGACAGAUGAGACUGUCACUGGACCCAUUUGAGAACUUUCAUGACAUUUCUUUGCAAUUAUUUUAGUAGUGCCCGACAACUUUAGGACCAUUAUUGGUUGCCACGUGAAAUAAUAUUUGAUUGAGAUAUGUGAUUCCUCUGUUUUCCAGUGCAUGAGCUGUGCGAAAAUUGAACGUUUAACAAACACCAAAACGAUUGAGCUGACAAAAAGUUUUUUGCAAUUGACCGAAUUGUAAACAGCCCAAACGUUUCAAAAUUUUAAGGGUAAAUUCCACUUUACCCCCUUGUGGUUUAGCAUUUUUUCACAUAACCCCCCAGUGGUUUCAAAAGCUAUACAUAACCCCCUUAUGAUUUGGAUUAAAAUGUCAAAGUGACGGAAAUGAUCAUUCGUAACGGCGUCACCUAAAAUGUCAAAAUUACCCUUAUGUAUAGUUGAAAAUUAUUUAUUAACCAAGGGGGGUUAUGUGUAUAUUUUGAAAAUCAUAAGGGGGUUAUAUGGUAAAGUACUAAAUCAUAAGGGGGUUAUAUGGUAAAAUAUAAAAAGCAUACGGGGUUAAUGUGUCAUGUAUUUAUAAGGGUAAUUUCGACAUUUUUAGAAGUUCCGUUACGAGUGACUAUUUCCGUCACUUUGACACUUUAAUCCAAACCAUGAGGGGGUUAUGUAUAGCUUUUGAAACCAUAGGGGGGUUAUGUAAAAAAAGGGUAAACCACAAGGGGGUAAAAUGUAAUUUGCCCAAAUUUUAAUGAUUAAAGGGAGCCCUUUUUGAAUUAUCAAGGGAAAAAAGGGAGCCCUUUUCGAUUGGUUAGACAGCCGCAGGAAUGCUGAAUCGUGUAUUUUUCAAAAUAUGAUUACAAGUAACCCAUAAUAAUAUUAUCACUGCAUAUGGAUUUCCAUUGAACAGCAUUACAAUCAACAGCCACCAAAAUUAUCAGAAUAAAUAUUAAUAAUUAAUUCCAUGGUAAUCUAAUCUAAUCUUAAAUAAGGGUACGCUACUUACUACUAGUUAUCAUAAAGGGGUCAUAAACUGAAAUUAUGAAAAUCAAAAUUAUAGAUAACGUAGGCAUUGACAAACUUCAUCCAAAAACAUAGGAGUGAAAUUGGAGAUUGUGGUGCUUACCAAUUUUACUUAAAGCGGUUGAAGAUUAUGGCUCUCAAUGUGAAAAACUGUUGUUUGAUGGCAAGGCAACAAACAUGAAAAUCAAUAGAGUCCGAAGCAUUAAAACUUCUAUUUGUUAUAAAACACCGUACGUGAAAUUGAAUUGCAAUAGUUUAUACAAAUUAUUGUGUUUGGAAAGCAAAUUUUUCAAUAAAUAUUAUUUUACUAGUAUCACAAUUAUAAUUUUUAAUUAAUUUUUUUAUCUUUUCAACAAAUAUUUUUUUUUAUCUUACAUAUAUGAUACCAUCAGAAGUGCCACAAUAAUUAUUUCAAGUAUUAUUUUAAUAUUAUUCAAAUAAUCUGGCAAUCAUAAAUAUUAUUCAAGUGCUAGUUUAAUAUUAUUAAGUACUAGUUAAUCAUUGCUUAGCUUGAACCAAUGCAUGCUUGAUAUAUUAUUAGUUUCACUCCCUAACUGGCCCUACUUUUGCAGGUUUCAAUUUCUCAAAAAUUAUAAGUAAAUUUGGAGCUCUCUAUUGGCCCUACUUUUCUAGCUUUCAAUUUCUAAAAAGUUAUAAUUGAAUAAAAUUUAAAAAAUGAAAAAGUUCAAAAAAAGUUAUUUUAAUGAGAACCCACUAAACCAAUAUUGCAGGAAUUUUAAGACAGUAAAACUAAAGGAGGGGAGCAAAAAUUUGAAGAAAUUGUAAGACUUAUGUUGUGUUUGGAAUGUGUGCUUUUUUCAAAAAAAAAUUAUCAUCUUUUAUGAAUAUAUUUUUCCAUCACUUUUUUAUCUUACAUUUAUCAAAUCAUUAUCAUAUAUUUUUACAAAAAAAAAAUAUCAUUAUCAUAUCUUGUAUGAAUACAUUUUUUCAUCACUUUUUCAUCUUACAUUUAUCAAAUCAUUAUCAUAUACUUUUACAAAAAAAAAAUCUAAAAAAAUAGCAAUAUAAGCGGAUCAAAGAAAAUCCUCCUGUGCUUGAGAAAAACAUAAAUAAAAAUAGGGACAAUAUAUGAAAUCCUCGAACACACAAGGAAAGAAAACAUGAUGACAAAUUAGAAAUUAAUUAACCGGGAGAAAAUCAAUUAAAUAGUUAAAAAUAUUGAAAACAAAAAUUUGAUUGUGGGCGUUUGCAAGCACCUUUUGAAUCAGAGGAGAGUCGAGUGGAGGAAGGGUCCUUGGAUGAAGACUACGGUUAGUAUGGAUGGGGACCAGAGAUGAUGCAUUGAUGCUUCGAGCAAAACGAUUAGGAUGGUGGUCAAAAGACGUGGCGGAUGUGAUUGAGAAACAGAUUAGCAUUCAAGGUGCCACUGGUCCAUUACGCCACUAACACUCUUUAUCCAUGAAAAACAUCAAAGUUUUUCAUGUCUAUCAUGUCUAUUGUUACUCUUUAUAACCCAACUGCCACUGUUUAUACAGUUCUAAUGGUAUUAGCGAAACAGUUGGACUAAUGGCUAACGCAUGUGCAGUGGGGUCUUUUUUUACUUUCUGGACAGUAGAAAUCAAUGUACAGAAAAGAAGAGAGCACUUGUGUUUGAGCCUUGAGGUUCUGCAGAUCUUUCUUAUCUCCUUUCAUAUUUGAGAACAGUUUCAUCUCUUAAAUUGAGAUCGAUACAUUCUGGUUCCCUUGUUAAUCUUCCUUUUAGUAGAUGGCCUCCACUAGUGUCACUUGUAUUUCUUCCAUCCUGGAUGAUCUGCAAGCGCUGGAGAACGAUUGUCAAUUUUUUGCAAAUGGGCCGCCGAAGUACCUGAAACGCAUGCUAAGCUAUCUGAGAACAUUUCUUCUGUGUGCGAGAAAAUACAGCAACCAUGAUGUGCAAUUACCAUUUGACAACAAAAAGAACCAGGCAGAUAAUCAUAAAGCAAGCCUAGAAGCUCUGGCAGUUCGGAUUCGAGAUGCCAUUCCCAAGAGGGGAAAAAAGAUCCGAUGGGAUGUGGUCUAUGAUUUAGAAAAAGACAUUAAAUCCUUCGAACAAGAAAUUUGCGAAUGGUAUGUCUUUUUCUUGGGUUCCUCGUCACAGCAGUCCAGUAAUUCGCUCGUUCGACAAGAUGACCUUAUGGAAUUUAUGGAUUCUCUAGUGAAUUAUCUUCCAAGGAGUCGGCCGGCAUAUGAAGUUGGACUAAUUAAAGCCCUUGAAGAGAAGCUGGCAUUCCUGAAAAACUUCAUCCGUUUUGUCACACUGCAUGGUGUUGAAAACACAGAAUUGAGACCUUUGUUAGUUCACACUGAAGCUGUGGCUGUCAAUGCAGCACACCUCUCUUAUAAGUGCCAGUUUAAGAAGGGUUUCGGACCGCCCAAGGAUAUCAAGGAAAGCAUUUCGGAACUGCUGCAGAAGAUUAUUCCUGUUGAACCGCAAGUCCUUGGGACUUGUAUCCAGGCCCUGAGUGCUUCGAAAUUAUCAAGACAAUCAUACGGAGAUACAGAUGAGCACAUAUUGAGUGACUUCCACCAUUCUCUCCUGUGUAAUCUUUGGGAUAAACUAAAGCGUGGUUCUUGUGCUGUGAUUUUGCGUCAACUACAAAUGUUUUAUGAGGGGCUAAAUUCCUUGAGAACCAUUUUGAAGGAGAAGCCAAAGGAGUUCGAUGAGAAAGUAAGAGAUCCUACUCGAGUCGUGAAUUGUUAUGGAGGAGAUGUUAUUUCCCCACUCUCUCUGAAUGCAAUCAAAGACGCCAUACAAGCCAAGGAUAUGGAUAUUGUGUGUUCUGAGUUAUUGAAAAUAAUUAAGCUCAUCGAUGCAGUAAUCACAGAGAAGUGUCCAGAAUCAUCAUCGUUCAAUUUUCCUAAGACCAAUGGACUGGGCUUUGUUGAUUCCCUUCUAGAAAAGAUGAUGGAUGUGACAAGUUCUGAGGCUGGUUCGAUUGCUUUGAUCGAUCAUCCAAUUCAAAAAGUCCUGGAAGAACUUGAUUGUUUACGCUCUUUGCUGAGGAAAAUUGUGGAGCUGCACAACGAAGACGAGGACGUCCAGGCAAUUUGGAAUCGUAUUGUUGGGGUGGCAUAUAGGAUAGAGUUUCUUAUUGACUCCUUAAUAACUGGAAAUAUCUUAGAUUCUUCUUCAAUGUCCAUUCAUUCCAUUUUAGAAGAAAUGAACAUCAUUAAAGCUGCGGCCUGGAAGAUUUGUGAUAGCGAAAGACUUGGUGGAAAAGUUAAGGAAGUAACGAAGAGAUUCAAUCACAUGCCACAAGAAGGAAGUAAGCCAAUAGUCAAUGAUGUGGUGGUGGGAUUCGAGGAUGAGACGGCAUCGAUUAUCAAUCAACUCAGAAAUGGAUCACUCCAAGUGAAAAUUGUUUCCAUUGUGGGUAUGCCGGGAUGCGGUAAGACAACUUUGGCUAGAAAAGUGUACAAUGAUUCUUCAGUGAAGUCCCAUUUUUAUGAGCGUGCUUGGUGUACUGUUUCUCAAAUAUAUGACAAGAGAAAUCUGUUGCUUCAAAUUUUGACUUGUAUUGAGUCCAAGCUUCCUGAGUAUGUUUUUAAGAUGGGUGAAGAAGAUCUGGAUGAUUUUAAGAUGGGUGAAGAAGAUCUGGCUCUUAAAGUCAAAAGACGUUUGCUGAAAAACAGAUAUCUCAUUGUUUUGGACGAUUUAUGGGACAUUGAUGCAUGGAACGGAUUGGAAGCCUCAUUCCCUGAUGAUGGAAAUGGAAGUAGAGUUAUCUUGACAAGUCGGCUCCGUGGUGUUGCUCCGCAAGACAAACUCGACCAUGAACCAUAUUCUCUUCGUCAACUCGCUCCUAAUGAGAGCUGGGAUUUGCUAAAAGGGAAGUUAUAUCCUGGACAAGAUUUGGCUCCUCCAGAACUAUGUGAAAUUCGACAGCAAGUCGUGGAAAUGUGUCAAGGACUACCUCUUACGGUUGUCAUUCUUGCCGGAAUUCUCUCAAGGCUGGACCGACAUGAUUGGAAAGAAGCUGUGGAAGGUUUAAGUUCAAGGAAUGUUUCUAGUACGGAACAAUGCACCGCUACAUUAGAGCUGAGUUACAAACAUUUACCUGAUACUUUGAAGGCAUGUUUUCUUUAUUUUGGAGCCUUUCCAGAAGACCAUGAACACAAUACCAAAAGGUUGAUUUCUCUAUGGGUCGCUGAAGGAUUUGUUCAAAAAACUCAGCUCAAGAGAUCAGAGGAUGUGGCAAAUGAUUACCUGAUGGAACUUAUUAGCAGAAGCUUAGUCACAGUUUCCAAACCAAGAUCCAUUGAUGGGGUCAAAGCCUGUCGCAUUCACGAUUUGUUAUAUGAGUUUUGCGUGACAAAAGCCAAAGAAGAAAACUUUUCGCGGCUGGUACGUAGGGAUGAUAAACUAUCUGAUAUCAAUGUGCCAUUCUACCUACGCCGCUUAUGCAUUGAUUCUAAGGUGGAGCACUUUGACAACUUGAGGUUAUUUUCUCCUGCCAUACGCAGUCUAUUAUUAUUCAGUCACGAUGAAGACCGUAGAAGUAGUUUUGACCUUCGAUUCAUUUUUCACAUCAUCAAACUUGCCAAAGUGUUAGAUUUGAGCCAAAUUAAUCUAGGAAGCACUUUUCCCAGAGAACUAGAACUGCUUGUUCACUUGAGGUACUUGGCAAUUCUAGUUAAUGGUAGGCCCGUCCCCGCAUCAAUAAGUUAUCUCACAAACUUGGAAACAUUGAUUUGGCGAAAUUCUUCUGAUCACGGUUCAAUAAACUUGAGAACUUGGAUUUGGCGAAAUCCUUGUGUUCAUGGUUCAGUUUCAUUGCCAGAUACUAUAUGGAACCUGAAGAAACUAAGGCAUUUAGAACUAAUUGAUGAGGCCGAUAAGAAUUACCAUGUUAGAUUCCCUGACAACAACCUUGAUAACUCUUCACAGUUGUGUGACUUAGAUAUCUUGUCCUGUCUAAGCCUCAAUCCUCGGAAGAACAUCAACAAGCUGUUGAGAAAGUUUCCAAAUAUCCGCAAGCUGAGAAGCUCUCUUAAUCUCGAUCAGGGCUGUGAAUAUCAUGUAGCAAUGGAUUGUCUAAGUCAUUUGGAAUCACUCAGUCUGAGUUGCGUUGUUUACGGCGGUGACCGAUAUCAGUUAGAUUUCCAAUUUCCUUUGACUAUUAAAAAAUUGACCCUGUCUUAUUUUCGCUUGCCAUGGAGCAAAAUGGUAGCAAUUGGAAAUCUACCCAAUCUUGAGGUGCUCAAAUUACUCGACCGAUCAUUUGAGGGGGAACUAUGGGAAAUGGAAGUAGAGAAGUUCCCUAAAGUUAAGUUCCUGAAAUUAGAUUACCUGUAUAUUGUGAAGUGGACAGCCUCCUCCGAGUAUGAGUACGAGGACCAGUACUAUUUUCCUCGUCUCCAGAAGCUAGUGUUGGAAAGCUGUGAUGCAUUGCAGGAGAUCCCUUCUUGUUUGG
Molecule: long non-coding RNA, 15118 nt
Filed under: Coffea arabica (coffee)
Lineage: Eukaryota; Viridiplantae; Streptophyta; Magnoliopsida; Gentianales; Rubiaceae
Description: long non-coding RNA (CARA_LNC003821)
Source: RNAcentral